RNAcentral lists this ribosomal RNA (253 nucleotides) under uncultured bacterium. RNAcentral's name for it is "partial 16S ribosomal RNA". It matches the Rfam family "Bacterial small subunit ribosomal RNA", at positions 524 to 776 of the family's 1533-position model. The record is from RNAcentral.
UACGGAGGGUGCGAGCGUUAAUCGGAAUCACUGGGCGUAAAGCGCGCGUAGGCGGCUUUUCAAGUCAGGGGUGAAAUCCCACGGCCCAACCGUGGAACUGCCUUUGAAACUGUAGAGCUUGAGUGUCGGAGAGGGUGGCGGAAUUCCAGGUGUAGGAGUGAAAUCCGUAGAUAUCUGGAGGAACACCGGUGGCGAAGGCGGCCACCUGGAUGACAACUGACGCUGAGGUGCGAAAGCGUGGGUAGCAAACAGG